AAAGAGAAGCGUAGCCUUUUGUUUCGGAAACGCGCUGCAUCCCCUUCAUCUAGCGUUCAAUGCUUCUUUUCUUUGUUGUCGCUUUGUCUAAUUGUUCAUCAGACAGUCCAGAGUCGCUAUAGGCAAUGGAAUAGCUGUGUUGCUUGCACCCGUACAUUGAGUGCAAUUAGUACAAUUCUGGAUUGGAUUGAAUUGAACUCCCUUUGUAAUUAGGAUGUCUCUGCAUCCUACCACUUUGUGACGUGAAGGCCCAGCAUUUUCGUGUUUGUAGAACACAGAGUCCAGCCUUCUGUUUAAAGGAUGAACCAGACCGGAGCCUGCGGCCUCUCUGAGAGUAGAGUCAGCACCCUGGCUCGAAGUGCUGGAGCCUCAUGAUGCUGCGUCACCCCGGGAUGAGCAAGUUGUGCCUAGUUCUAGGACUCUGAGCACCAAGCUGGCGGACCUGGGAGAGCAGCGGAUAUGGCUGGAUGCUGGAGGAGGAUUUGUGGCUACCAGAAGGACCCACGGCCUGUAGUAAGCAGAAUUGACCACCAGAAAGCCAACGCUCAAGACGGGUUUUUGGACUGUGUGGAACAGGAGGCCACAGGUCUUCAGAGAUGGAGGCCUAGAAUUCGUGUAUUCCAUGAGAUGAGACUGAGGGCUUUCCUUUGUGGGCGGUCCAUAGGACUGUGCUAGAGAAUUCUAUGGUGACUUCAUUUCAGCCUGGAGGCCUUCUGAAGCUGUGGUAUCAAGAUGAAGGGGCUGGGAUUAAGGACUGUCAGUAACAGAGUUCUUGCUGAAAUUUGUCAUCUCAGACUCAAAAAAGUGAAUACCAGAGCUCACUUUUGGAGGUUAUUCACCUACCCACUCGUUAUUCAUGUCAGCUGUCCAAAUGCAAAACUUUUAACACUGCUAUACUCUGGAAAUGUCUAUAAAUGCAGUAUAUCUGAUGGAAUAAAUCAUAUUCUCAGUCUCCUCUGUA
Molecule: long non-coding RNA, 961 nt
Organism: Grammomys surdaster
Lineage: Eukaryota; Metazoa; Chordata; Mammalia; Rodentia; Muridae
Exons: 2
Source: RefSeq, a predicted model, not a curated record